This 22-nucleotide non-coding RNA is filed under the name Mus musculus (house mouse). Lineage: Eukaryota; Metazoa; Chordata; Mammalia; Rodentia; Muridae. The record is from RNAcentral.
GAUAUCAUCAUAUACUGUAAGU